CCCGUAAUGAAAAAAAGGGUGUGCACCCACACACCCGACAAAGAGAAUAUGUGGUGUGUUUUAUACACCUGUCGGGGGAUUGCGGGUGUGCACACCGUGCAUAGACGCAGGAUUUUUUUUACGUCUUCUUCGGUCGUGAACUUGGCAACCAGUAUUGUGAAGGAGUGUUUAGGCAGCCAAAAGCACAGACACCUGGACGAGCCGAGGCGCACCUUCUCUACUAUGACCCUCCUAGCUGGACGACGACGAAGUGGGUCGACGUAGGGCGGCGGCGGCGGUCCGACGCGAACGGCGGCCGAGCGCGGCGCUUGUGGAGGAGGCUCGGCUGGCGGCGCGCGGACUCCCGCCACGAGCUCGUCCACCUGCUGCUCGACGCCUUCCCCUUGCUGCUCCGGCGCGACAGGGAGCACGCGCCGAGCGUCCCCCUCCCGCCGCCCGAGGCCACGAAACCGCGGCGCUCCGUCCAUGGAGUUUCCGAAAUAUUUGAUCUACUCGAAUUCGAUUUACCCUAGCUAUGAAGAAGAAAGGAUAGAGGACACCUAGUCUGAAACCCUAGUUAACUCUCUUUAGAGGUUUAACGGCGCGAAGAACCUCCCGAAAGACAAAGUAAACGCAAACUCGACAGAGUUGAGGUUCGAGACGAAUGGAAACAUCCGGACGAUAAGCACACCAGACAACUAAACUAUAUAAUGUUACCUCCCCGCUCUUUGAACCAAGAACUGUGUUAACGAGUGUCAGAGUCGCUCUUCAUGGUGUUGUCUCAAUAACUCGUACUUCGACCAGUGAAGAACUAUCGUAUGAACGAACCUCACGAAGGCUUCCUUAUAUGAUAGUGUACAAAUCUAUGUGAAUACUUUGUUCCUAGUGACUUGCACGUUCGACCCUGUCGAAAACACCUGAAACUCAAACAACUUCUCUAGUUAUGUCCGUUUGACAGACGCUUCCACUCUCAGAGAUUUAAUAAUAACAAACGUUUCGUGCAUUUUUACUACAUUCUACAAUAGCGACAAGAAGUUCCAGAUGAAGGUUUAGGACCGUUUUUUAUCUCCAGACGAAGGUUGAUAUAUAACCGUAGUCUUGAGUGUCGACGGUGUUACCUAUGUGACUAAUACACGAAAGUGGCUUCAAUUUUAAAUUUCUACUAGUUUUAUCACAACCCAGUAAAGUUUAUACCUUUUCGAAAUAACUACAUUUUUGUGUGUGAUCCGUUGAUCAUUAGGGGUAAGGUUUCGAGAGAUGAACCAAAUUAAGCUGGAUUUCGCUGAUGGUAAAAUUGUGUAUUAAUCGUAUAAGACCCUACCCGUGUUAAUAACGCUUGGGUACUUGAUGACGAAAAAGUCACUAAUCUAUACAUGUUUCAGUAUUCCAUAAUGUACUAACAACAGAAGACUAUCGCUAAGUCUAAACACUAACUGGACCGUUAUUCAACCUAGAUUACCGUCUACGACUUGUUCAAGAGUACAUAACGUGACCGGCCUCAUCGUUGACUUAUAGAAGACAUGCCUAUGCGGCUUCCUCCUGAUCUACUGCAAUUGUUCCAAAAAGCCGUAAUCAAAUGAAUGCAAGAUUCAACUGUUUGUAUACAUUGGGUUAGGAGAUUAAUAGACGAGACACGAAAGCACAAAGAAGGUAAUUGUCAACCUACCUGACAAGUUCUCGGACCCAAAAUGGGUCUUGUUUCGACUAAGUGUCCACUCCACCCGACACGAUUUGUAGCAAGACUAGGACGCGGCGGUACUUUUCCGAUCUAGCUUCGAAUUCCUCCGUUACAGAAGACCCUCCAGUCAACCUAGAACGUAGCUCCAGUAUCUUCUCUUGUAUUUGGGGCUCCUAUAAACUAUCGACUACCCUUGAGACUUGUGACCUCUGUCACGUGUGACCACGACCUAGUAUGUCUAACGUCAGCAUAUUUGGAAACAUCACAUAAACAGAAACAUGACAUAUAAGUCAAACAUUAAACUGUUACCUCCGGCUCAGAUGUUAAAGAACCGGAGCUGAUGUUGCGUCUUUGUGUCAACCAUUAGCCACGCUGCGACAUUGGGGUUUCGUAAUUGGUUUGCCUUCAACCUGAAGUAAAAGUC
This 2081-nucleotide ribosomal RNA is filed under the name Triticum aestivum (bread wheat). RNAcentral's name for it is "partial small subunit ribosomal RNA". The record is from RNAcentral. Lineage: Eukaryota; Viridiplantae; Streptophyta; Magnoliopsida; Poales; Poaceae.